UGGGGAAUUUUGGACAAUGGGGGCAACCCUGAUCCAGCAAUGCCGCGUGUGUGAAGAAGGCCUUCGGGUUGUAAAGCACUUUUGGCGGGAACGAAAUGGAGCUUGCUAAUACCAGGCUUCGAUGACGGUACUCGCAGAAUAAGCACCGGCUAACUACGUGCCAGCAGCCGCGGUAAGACGUAGGGUGCAAGCGUUAAUCGGAAUUACUGGGCGUAAAGCGUGCGCAGGCGGUUUUGUAAGACAGGCGUGAAAUCCCCGGGCUUAACCUGGGAACUGCGCUUGUGACUGCAAGACUAGAGUGUGUCAGAGGGAGGUGGAAUUCCGCGUGUAGCAGUGAAAUGCGUAGAGAUGCGGAGGAACACCGAUGGCGAAGGCAGCCUCCUGGGAUAACACUGACGCUCAUGCACGAAAGCGUGGGGAGCAAACAGG
RNAcentral lists this ribosomal RNA (429 nucleotides) under uncultured bacterium. Its description in RNAcentral is "bacterial SSU rRNA". It matches the Rfam family "Bacterial small subunit ribosomal RNA", at positions 355 to 776 of the family's 1533-position model. The record is from RNAcentral.